UUAAUACUCCCUCCGUCCCAAAAUUCUUGUCUUAGAUUAGUCUAGAUACAGAUGUAUCUAAUACUAAAACGUGACUUGAUACAUCUGUAUUUAGACAAAUUUAAGACAAGAAUUUUGGGACGGAGGGAGUAUAUA
This is a non-coding RNA of Triticum urartu, 135 nucleotides long. The record is from Rfam. NCBI's taxonomy places the organism in Eukaryota, Viridiplantae, Streptophyta, Magnoliopsida, Poales, Poaceae.